This is a long non-coding RNA of Hyla sarda, 1574 nucleotides long. RefSeq lists it as uncharacterized. The transcript is spliced from 4 exons. NCBI's taxonomy places the organism in Eukaryota, Metazoa, Chordata, Amphibia, Anura, Hylidae. The record is from RefSeq and is a predicted model, not a curated record.
GAGAGCAUAGCCGCUGACGCAGGAGCUGAUCUCUGCAGAGGUGAGGGGCAGGGGGGCGCCCGUAAAUCGAUUCAUCAGCCCGGGCAUCCUGGAUCCUGGUGCAACCCUAGUGGAGAAGAUAUGAGGAGCAAAGGGAUAAGAAGAACAGGGUGAACAGAGGGGGAGGAGUCACAUACAGCAGCCAAUCAGAUUCCAGCUCUUAUUUACACAUUGCAGGUUUGAGAAUAAAGCAAGUGAUCUGAUUGGUUGGCAGCAGUAGAUCCUCUGAGCUGAUCCUCAGAAGAAAAAGGAAAAAAAUCCUGUAAUCAUAGUAGAAGGAAGCAGAGAUCCUGAAAAGAGUGAAAAAUGAAAACACGACAGAUGCAGAACUUUUCCUUAGUUGUUCAGGAUUAGGAAAACAUGGCGGCUUUCUUCCUAAAACAGCACCCCCUCUUGUCCAAAGUCAUCACAGAUCAUCACGGAGGCUCCUUGAUCCCAUCACUGACGAUGACCGGAGGGUUAAUAAUUCCGUGUGAGGUUAAGAGCUGAUGGCCCCCGGAGACGUUCAGAUGUGAUGGCGUCUACUGAGGAGCGGACGUGUCUCCACCCAGGGGAACCGCACGAAAACUCCUGCUUUAUUAUAUUACCAGGCUGACACCUGCGUCACUCCGAGAACCAUCAAUGUGAACGAUGACAUUGGACGUGGCAGGCGGCGGGGGCUCACGAGGCACACGGGGGUCUUUAAGAUAACGAGAAGAUAUUGGGAACAGUCGGCACGCCAAGAGCGCAAGACGGCGGCUGCUUAAUCUAUUAUUGUGUAUGACAAUGUGGGGGCGCCACUUAUCAGAAGCAGCUGUCCAUAAUAAGACGUAACCAAGAUAAGGGAACGUCCUCCGGGGUCUCCGCCCUAGGUCUCUGAUUCUAUCAUCGCGCAGAAGAGUUUAAGACCUUGCCGCGUCAUUUCACAGGAGGGAUUUGCUGUUUUCCGUAACACGAAGAGAAGGAGCUAUAGGAAAGCGUAAGGAAAGUAUUUCCCAACCAAUGUGCCUUCAGCCUAGUAAACAGCUGUCUUCAGCACCUGUGCUGAUUAGCAUCACACUGAAAACCUGGACUGGACAGAAAGGGAAUGAAAGUCCCCACUACCAACCCGCCAGUCAUUCCUUAAAAUGUUUUAACUGUUCCUGGAUUCCUCAAAUCUCCCCCAGCUUUAUAUGAAUUAAUAAGCUUGAGUUUUCCAACCUGUGUGUCUCCAGCUGUUGCAAAAUUACAAUUCCAAGUAUGUCCAGACAGCCAAUGGCAGUGUUACCAAACCAGGCUGCCUCCAGCUGUUGUAAAACAACUCCCAGCAUGCAUUGACAGCCUCUACUGCAGACUUAUUUACAUCUUCUCUUUAAGCCUUGUAACCAUUUGCCUUCAGCACCUGUGCUGACUUAGGCCACACUUUUAACCAGGAACGUAAUGAAUGACACUACCAACCUGCCAGUCAUUCCAUAAAAAUCCAGGCCUGAUAAGACUGGAGACACGUUGGUUGGAAAACAAUGGUUUAACCUGCGCCACUUUUGAUUGAUGUGUAAUGUCUAAUGAACAUCAGUUAC